GGUGGGGAGCGGCGAACGGGUGAGUAACACGUUGGCAUCUGCCCCAGACUCAGGGAUAACCCGCCGAAAGGCGCGGUCAAUACCGGAUAGUCCUGCAAAGGUAAAGCUUUUUGCGGUUUGGGAGGAGCCUGCGGCGUAUCAGCUUGUUGGUGAGGUAAUAGCUCACCAAGGCCAUGACGCGUAGCUGGUCUGAGAGGACGACCAGUCACAAUGGGACUGAGACACGGCCCAUACUCCUACGGGAGGCAGCAGUAAGGAAUCUUCCACAAUGGGCGAAAGCCUGAUGGAGCAAUACCGCGUGAACGAUGAAGGUCUAACGAUCGUAAAGUUCUUUUCUGGGGGAAGAAUUAUGACGGUACCCUAGGAAUAAGCACCGGCUAACUCCGUGCCAGCAGCCGCGGUAAUACGGAGGGUGCAAGCGUUACCCGGAAUCAUUGGGCGUAAAGCGUCCGCAGGUGGUUAAUUAAGUCGGAUAUUAAAUCUCGGGGCCCAACCUCGAGGCCGUGUCCGAAACUGAUUAACUAGAGACUUUCAGGGGCAAGCGGAAUUCUGUGUGUAGGGGUAAAAUCCGUAGAUACACAGAGGAACACCAAAAGCGAAGGCAGCUUGCUGGGAAAGUUCUGACACUCAUGGACGAAAGCGUAGGGAGCGAACGGGAUUAGAUACCCCGGUAGUCUACGCCGUAAACGAUGGAUACUAGUUGUUGGAGGGCUCGACCCCUUCAGUGACGACGCUAACGCAUUAAGUAUCCCGCCUGUGAAGUACGGUCGCAAGAUUAAAACAUAAAGGAAUAGACGGGGACCCACACAAGCGGUGGAGCAUCUGGCUUAAUUCGAUAAUGAGCGAGGAACCUUACCUAGGCUUGACAUCUCGGGAAUUCUUUAGAAAUAGAGAAGUGCCUUCUGGAACCCGAUGACAGGUGCUGCAUGGUUGUCGUCAGCUCGUGCCUUGAGGUGUUCGGUUAAGUCCGUAAACGAGCGCAACCCAUGUCCUGUGUUGUUUUUUCACAGGAGACUGCCUAUUCAAAGUAGGAGGAAGGUAUGGAUGACGUCAAAUCAGCAUGGCCCUUAUGUCUAGGGCUGCACAGGUGCUACAAUGGACGGUACAAUGGGUAGCAAUGGAGUAAUCCGGAGCCAAUCCCAAAAAACCGUUCUAAGUUCGAAUUGAGGGCUGCAAUUUGCCCUCAUGAAGUUGGAAUCGCUAGUAAACGCGGAUCAGCAAUGGCGCGUUGAAUAUGUUCCUGGGUCUUGUACUCACCGCCCGUCAAGUGAUGGAAGGUGGGGGCGCCCGAAGUACCCUUAGCUUUUAGCGGGGUCCUAAGGCGAAACCACUGACUGGCACUAAGUCGUAACAAGGUA
RNAcentral lists this ribosomal RNA (1358 nucleotides) under metagenome. RNAcentral describes it as "bacterial SSU rRNA". It matches the Rfam family "Bacterial small subunit ribosomal RNA". The record is from RNAcentral.